UAAAAGUUGUUUUGAUUUUGAUUCAUAGUUUAGUAUUUAAUAAGAUACUACUUUUAG
RNAcentral lists this transfer RNA (57 nucleotides) under Parasacculina shiinoi. RNAcentral describes it as "tRNA-Gln". The record is from RNAcentral. Lineage: Eukaryota; Metazoa; Arthropoda; Thecostraca; Polyascidae.